UUUUUAGCAUGGGAUAAUGGAAUAGGACGUGUGGUUCUAUUUUGUUGGUUUCUAGGACCGCCGUAAUGAUUAAUAGGGACAGUCGGGGGCAUCAGUAUUCAAUUGUCAGAGGUGAAAUUCUUGGAUUUAUUGAAGACUAACUACUGCGAAAGCAUUUGCCAAGGAUGUUUUCAUUAAUCAGGAACGAAAGUUAGGGGAUAAUGCAAUAGGACGUGUGGUUCUAUUUUGUUGGUUUUUAGGACCGCCGUAAUGAUUUAUAGGGACAGUCGGGGGCAUCAGAUUCAAUUGUCAGAGGUGAAAUUCUUGGAUUUAUUGAAGACUAACUACUGCGAAAGCAUUUGCCAAGGAUGUUUUCAUUAAUCAGGAACGAAAGUUAGGGGAUCGAAGACGAUCAGAUACCGUCGUAGUCUUAACCAUAAACUAUGCCGACUAGGGAUCGGACGAUGUUACAUUUUUGACGCGUUCGGCACCUUACGAGAAAUCAAAGUGCUUGGGCUCCAGGGGGAGUAUGGUCGCAAGGCUGAAACUUAAAGAAAUUGACGGAAGGGCACCACCAGGGGUGAGCCUGCGGCUAAUAUACCCG
This 583-nucleotide ribosomal RNA is filed under the name Trichoderma sp. FVR 2. RNAcentral's name for it is "bacterial SSU rRNA". It matches the Rfam family "Eukaryotic small subunit ribosomal RNA", at positions 651 to 1202 of the family's 1831-position model. The record is from RNAcentral. Lineage: Eukaryota; Fungi; Ascomycota; Sordariomycetes; Hypocreales; Hypocreaceae.